Hordeum vulgare subsp. vulgare (domesticated barley) is the source of this 134-nucleotide non-coding RNA. The record is from Rfam. Lineage: Eukaryota; Viridiplantae; Streptophyta; Magnoliopsida; Poales; Poaceae.
UAUGUAUUCUUCCGUCCUAUAAUUCGUGUCUUAGGUUUGCCUAGAAAUGAAUGUAUCUAAAUACUAAAACAUGAUUAGAUACAUUCAUAUUUAGAGAAUUUUAAGAUAAGAAUUUUGGAAUGGAGGAGUAGAUA